GACGAACGCUGGCGGCGUGCUUAACACAUGCAAGUCGAACGGAAAGGCCCUGCUUUUGUGGGGUGCUCGAGUGGCGAACGGGUGAGUAACGCGUGAGUAACCUGCCCUUGACUUUGGGAUAACUUCAGGAAACUGGGGCUAAUACCGGAUAGGAGCUCCUGCUGCAUGGUGGGGGUUGGAAAGUUUCGGCGGUUGGGGAUGGACUCGCGGCUUAUCAGCUUGUUGGUGGGGUAGUGGCUUACCAAGGCUUUGACGGGUAGCCGGCCUGAGAGGGUGACCGGCCACAUUGGGACUGAGAUACGGCGCAGACUCCUACGGGAGGCAGCAGGGGGGAAUAUUGCACAAUGGGCGGAAGCCUGAUGCAGCAACGCCGCGUGCGGGAUGACGGCCUUCGGGUUGUAAACCGCUUUCGCCUGUGACGAAGCGUGAGUGACGGUAAUGGGUAAAGAAGCACCGGCUAACUACGUG
RNAcentral lists this ribosomal RNA (468 nucleotides) under uncultured bacterium. RNAcentral describes it as "partial 16S ribosomal RNA". It matches the Rfam family "Bacterial small subunit ribosomal RNA", at positions 28 to 507 of the family's 1533-position model. The record is from RNAcentral.